GGAGCUGAUAGCUCAGUGGUUAGAAUGCUGGACUCCUGAACUAAAGGGCACAGGUUUGAAUCCUGCCAUCACAUCAGUCCA
Potamilus streckersoni is the source of this 81-nucleotide non-coding RNA. The record is from the annotation of a GenBank genome assembly. Lineage: Eukaryota; Metazoa; Mollusca; Bivalvia; Unionida; Unionidae.